Long non-coding RNA from Lathyrus oleraceus (garden pea), 442 nucleotides. RefSeq lists it as uncharacterized. Lineage: Eukaryota; Viridiplantae; Streptophyta; Magnoliopsida; Fabales; Fabaceae. The transcript has 2 exons. The record is from RefSeq and is a predicted model, not a curated record.
GUGAAAGUGCAGAGUAAUUAAUAAUGGUUUCAAAGAGGUGUUUUUUUAUUUGUGUGGUUCUCUUUCUCUGUGUUUUGAGUUUUUCUUCCAAAGCAUUAGCAAGGAACAUUCCUAAUGUUUCUGAACUCUCAGAAGGUUCAGAUAAAAUGUAUACGAAUAAAAGAGUGCUUGGCCAAGAAGCUGGACGACCUGCAUGUAAGAGGGGAAGAUUGACUUAUACCGUGAGUCGUAUCCAAGAUGAUCCACGUUGCCACCACUAUUUAUGAAUUAUUAUGACUUAGUGUUGCCCUUGUUGGAUUGUAAUAUAUUAAUUAAUUGUAAGAAUUUAGUUGCAGUAAAAUAAUUAAAUAAAUUAGGAAGGCAAAGCAUAGUGAAUCGAGUGAUGUUAUUUGAAUUUAUAUUGUUUUGUUAUGAUAAAAAAAAAUGUUAAUAUACAUUCUUU